GACGAACGCUGGCGGCGUGCCUAAUACAUGCAAGUCGAACGCAGUGGGGACGGGUGAGUAACACCUGGGUAACCUCCCAUCAGAGGGGAUAACACGUGGAAACAGGUGCUAAACCGCUACUGAUGGAUGGACCCGCGGUGCAUUAGGUAGUUGGUGGGGGAACGGCCCACCAAGGCCACGAUGCAUAGCCGGUCUGAGAGGAUGACCGGCCACACGGGGACUGAGACACGGCCCAGACUCCUACGGGAGGCAGCAGUGGGGAAUCUUCGGCAAUGGGCGAAAGUCUGACGGAGCAACGCCGCGUGAGUGAAGAAGGUUUUCGGAUCGUAAAGUUCUGUUAUCAGAGAGGCGGUAUCUAACCAGAAAGCCACGGCUAACUACGUGCCAGCCGCCGCGGUAAUUC
Molecule: ribosomal RNA, 403 nt
Filed under: uncultured bacterium
Lineage: Bacteria
Description: partial 16S ribosomal RNA
Rfam family: Bacterial small subunit ribosomal RNA
Source: RNAcentral